RNAcentral lists this small nuclear RNA (114 nucleotides) under Spinacia oleracea (spinach). RNAcentral's name for it is "U2 spliceosomal RNA". It matches the Rfam family "U2 spliceosomal RNA". From Rfam's summary of the family: U2 is a small nuclear RNA (snRNA) component of the spliceosome (involved in pre-mRNA splicing). Complementary binding between U2 snRNA (in an area lying towards the 5' end but 3' to hairpin I) and the branchpoint sequence (BPS) of the intron results the bulging out of an unpaired adenosine, on the BPS, which initiates a nucleophilic attack at the intronic 5' splice site, thus starting the first of two transesterification reactions that mediate splicing. Lineage: Eukaryota; Viridiplantae; Streptophyta; Magnoliopsida; Caryophyllales; Amaranthaceae. The record is from Rfam by way of RNAcentral.
AUCUCUCAUCCUUUUGGUUAUGAUCAAGUGUAGUAUUUGUUCUUAUCAGUUUGAUACUCCGUAUCUGGUAUGUGGGUCACUGACUCACAUAGUCACAAGUGUCGCCCAUUCUUU